AUGGUAUGUACGUAUCCUUUUAUGAGCAACACGUGUAUGUGGUAUGUGCAAAAAGAUGUAUUUUUCCAUGACUCUGUGCAGACUCUACCCUGGAAUGGCAUUCUGUGUUAUUUGGCAAGAUCAUGCUUGCGUGUGAAUGAACCCACACAGAGGAACACCUACAGCGUAAGCGCCACCUUAGGAUGGCCCCCGGCACCUGAGAAUGGGCAGUCCUGAAGAUCUCGGAGCACCUGUGGGCGUGUGAGAGACACACAUAUGGGCACCAUGGUUGGGACCACUGGGUGUUCAUCUGGGAACAGCUCUAAAUGGAAAGACAGAGUCUCGGGAGGAGUUGGACUCCUUGCCAUCAGCCAAACCCGGGAAGAAGCGUGUUGUUGUCCUCCUGUUCACCGCGCAGAUUAAACUGGCAAUCCUGAAUCAUUUACAACGUGGUAACUGUGAUGGUCUGUGGUUCCAGUGAACCCUAAUACUAUCUAUAAAUCAUCUGGCAGAAAUGGGGGCAAGUACUUGGCUUCUGUCCUCCAGCAGUUAGAAGGGAGGGCAGAGAACCUCUUGAUUAAGAGGCAGUGGGCAGUAGGGAUUAUCACUCAACCUGUUUCCAAGGAAAUUUUCGCUGGUGAACACUGGGAUCCAGGGCACAAGUCAUCCGAUGUUGUCAAAGGAGUUAGCAGUUCAAGCAAAUAAGAGAUGCACGUAUCCUUGACCUACACUGGCUACUUUCCCUCGGACGCUACCGUUAACCGAUAAAUGGCAUGGAGUUGCUUUUUCGCUUAAUCUGGAAGUGUCUCAUUUUUCUUGCAAACAUCCCCGUUCAUCAUGGCUCCUGAUGAGAGCCAUCGCUCCUUCCUAAAGAGAAAUGGAUUAUUUUUCUUUCUUCAUCCUGUAAUGUUCCUUCUGCUGCAGAUUCCCCCCUAGCGGAAAAAGUAGACCAUGAUUCCUAUAUUCCCAGUAGGACAACCAUUUACAUCUUUGAACCUAUUUUGUUUCUUCCACAUUUUAGGCAGUGAUGGCUUGUUUAUAAGUCAUGUUCACACGAAGCUCUGUGGUACAGGGUGUGGUCUCGGGGGAAUCC
RNAcentral lists this long non-coding RNA (1072 nucleotides) under Neogale vison (American mink). Its description in RNAcentral is "Neovison vison (American mink) lncRNA (ENSNVIG00000014824.1)". The record is from RNAcentral. Lineage: Eukaryota; Metazoa; Chordata; Mammalia; Carnivora; Mustelidae.